Molecule: ribosomal RNA, 1405 nt
Filed under: uncultured bacterium
Lineage: Bacteria
Description: bacterial SSU rRNA
Rfam family: Bacterial small subunit ribosomal RNA
Source: RNAcentral
GUUUGAUCCUGGCUCAGGAUGAACGCUGGCGGCGUGCCUAAUACAUGCAAGUCGAGCGAACAGACGAGGAGCUUGCUCCUUCGACGUUAGCGGCGGACGGGUGAGUAACACGUAGCUAACCUACCUAUAAGACUGGGAUAACUUCGGGAAACCGGAGCUAAUACCGGAUAAUAUUUCGAACCGCAUGGUUCGAUAGUGAAAGAUGGCUUUGCUAUCACUUAUAGAUGGACCUGCGCCGUAUUAGCUAGUUGGUAAGGUAACGGCUUACCAAGGCAACGAUACGUAGCCGACCUGAGAGGGUGAUCGGCCACACUGGAACUGAGACACGGUCCAGACUCCUACGGGAGGCAGCAGUAGGGAAUCUUCCGCAAUGGGCGAAAGCCUGACGGAGCAACGCCGCGUGAGUGAUGAAGGUCUUCGGAUCGUAAAACUCUGUUAUUAGGGAAGAACAAACGUGUAAGUAACUGUGCACGUCUUGACGGUACCUAAUCAGAAAGCCACGGCUAACUACGUGCCAGCAGCCGCGGUAAUACGUAGGUGGCAAGCGUUAUCCGGAAUUAUUGGGCGUAAAGCGCGCGUAGGCGGUUUUUUAAGUCUGAUGUGAAAGCCCACGGCUCAACCGUGGAGGGUCAUUGGAAACUGGAAAACUUGAGUGCAGAAGAGGAAAGUGGAAUUCCAUGUGUAGCGGUGAAAUGCGCAGAGAUAUGGAGGAACACCAGUGGCGAAGGCGACUUUCUGGUCUGUAACUGACGCUGAUGUGCGAAAGCGUGGGGAUCAAACAGGAUUAGAUACCCUGGUAGUCCACGCCGUAAACGAUGAGUGCUAAGUGUUAGGGGGUUUCCGCCCCUUAGUGCUGCAGCUAACGCAUUAAGCACUCCGCCUGGGGAGUACGACCGCAAGGUUGAAACUCAAAGGAAUUGACGGGGACCCGCACAAGCGGUGGAGCAUGUGGUUUAAUUCGAAGCAACGCGAAGAACCUUACCAAAUCUUGACAUCCUUUGACCCUUCUAGAGAUAGAAGUUUCCCCUUCGGGGGACAAAGUGACAGGUGGUGCAUGGUUGUCGUCAGCUCGUGUCGUGAGAUGUUGGGUUAAGUCCCGCAACGAGCGCAACCCUUAAGCUUAGUUGCCAUCAUUAAGUUGGGCACUCUAAGUUGACUGCCGGUGACAAACCGGAGGAAGGUGGGGAUGACGUCAAAUCAUCGUGCCCCUUAUGAUUUGGGCUACACACGUGCUACAAUGGACAAUACAAAGGGCAGCGAAACCGCGAGGUCAAGCAAAUCCCAUAAAGUUGUUCUCAGUUCGGAUUGUAGUCUGCAACUCGACUACAUGAAGCUGGAAUCGCUAGUAAUCGUAGAUCAGCAUGCUACGGUGAAUACGUUCCCGGGUCUUAACUGACCGCCCGUC